This is a long non-coding RNA of Hevea brasiliensis (rubber tree), 1001 nucleotides long. RefSeq lists it as uncharacterized. Lineage: Eukaryota; Viridiplantae; Streptophyta; Magnoliopsida; Malpighiales; Euphorbiaceae. The record is from RefSeq and is a predicted model, not a curated record. The transcript is spliced from 3 exons.
GGCCAAAUCCGGCCGAUCCGGCCACCGAUUGGACCGGGUCUUGUGUCCAAAAUCAUCUACUCGGCGAGAGCUUUCCAUAGACACCAAGAACGCCGAAAUCCAUCGAGCGGAUUGUCCGAUUUUUGCUCGGGAAGAUUUUAGCCCAUUUCGACUUUUGGGCUAGAUUUCUCGAAAACCGUGAAUCCCACGAGAAAACCGAGGCCACCAGCACGCUCCAUUCGUCGAGAGCUUCGCAACGACAUAAAUUUCGAAUUUUUCCGACACCGUUUUUCGGUGGGUCCCACGGAACUUCGCAGUGUAUUUUCGAGCAUUAAAUGAGCUUAGAAAAUUCUGAAAAAUUUAUGUACUAACCCCCGUGUUAUGGGCUUCGUGUAGGUAUCAUCGAUUCUCGGAAAUUCGACAGUUGACUGGGUCUGCAAAUUUCGGGCCAGACAGACCCGUUACCGGAAAAGUCCCCGAAUUGGACCGAGGUUUUGGCUAGCCCCCCAUUGUCAGACGUCCCGAGCGCGUUCCCGAAGUCAGAAUCGGCAAAGGUGAGCCGGGACAGCCUUCUUCCUCCGCCCAGCCGCCACAGUGAUUGUCGUCAAGUCUGCCGCAGGAGGAUAUUUUAUUCUGGGUUAACCUGCUUUUAUACUUCGCAGGUUGUUUAUCGAUAUUUGUGUAAUUUUAUUUACUCCUAGAAUUUCCGCAUGUGUUAGCAGUAAUUAUUUGAAUUUGGUCUGUAAUAUUAUUAUCAUGUUGGACCUGUAAACUUAAUAUUUUAAGUCUGUUUGAUGGAUUGGAUGAGGGAGCUGAGCUCCCAUUUAUUAUUAUGUUGAUGAGUAUGUGGAGGGUGAGCUGAGCUCCCCAAUGGAUUGUUUAUUGUGUUUACAGGUCGGGUGAGUCGAAAACUCCCCGUUGGAAAGUCCAUUUUAUGGCCGGACUCUGUCCGUUUGUUUUCUUGAAUUUAGGCCCAAUGGGCCUUAGAGUUGGGUUAAUGAACAGUUAGGCUUACUACGGGC